AGGUCAUUUCAUAGUGGGCUCCUGUGGCUGUGAAGCCAAGAUCUCUGAAUGCUAUGAACAAAGAUUGAAGUUCUCUGUAGGACUAAACAGUGUAUUUUCCUGAGAAAAUACAAAG
RNAcentral lists this small nucleolar RNA (115 nucleotides) under Carlito syrichta (Philippine tarsier). RNAcentral's name for it is "Small nucleolar RNA SNORA25 (ENSTSYG00000025537.1)". The record is from RNAcentral. Lineage: Eukaryota; Metazoa; Chordata; Mammalia; Primates; Tarsiidae.